GAUGAACGCUAGCGACAGGCUUAACACAUGCAAGUCGAGGGGCAGCGAGGGCGUAGCAAUACGCCUGUCGGCGACCGGCGCACUGGUGAGUAACACGUAUGCGACCUGCCCCCUACAGGGGUAUAACCCGUAGAAAUGCGGACUAAUCCCCCAUAGUCCUGGGUGCUGCAUGGCAUUCAGGGGAAAGGGUUUCCGGUAGGGGAUGGGCAUGCGGCGCAUUAGCUAGUUGGCGGGGCAACGGCCCACCAAGGCGACGAUGCGUAGGGGUUCUGAGAGGAAGGUCCCCCCACACUGGUACUGAGACACGGACCAGACUCCUACGGGAGGCAGCAGUGAGGAAUAUUGGUCAAUGGGCGCAGGCCUGAACCAGCCAAGUCGCGUGAGGGAGGACGGUCCUACGGAUUGUAAACCUCUUUUGUCGGGGAGUAACGUGCGGGACGCGUCCCGUAUUGAGAGUACCCGAAGAAAAGCAUCGGCUAACUCCGUG
Molecule: ribosomal RNA, 487 nt
Filed under: uncultured bacterium
Lineage: Bacteria
Description: bacterial SSU rRNA
Rfam family: Bacterial small subunit ribosomal RNA
Source: RNAcentral